UUGCACCAGGGUUCUUCAGCUUCUCCCCCCAUUCUCUACAGGUGUGUAGCUAGAAAGGCCUCUGAGGAGCUGCGGGCCAGGUUUGUCUCUACUAGAGCAAGAGAUACGGUCAACUUUGUCAUCGAUGCUUUCAGGUUGAGCUCUUCAAAGGUAAGUUCCAGUAUAGAAUCUUGCAUUGCAUGCAUUAUUUCCUUGAUCUCAUUUUAUAUUGGUUUUGCACAGAAUGAGCAUAUUCCUUCUCCUCUGCAGAUUUAUAUGCACUGUGUCCUGGCUGUAGUGAAUGACAAAAUAACAGAAGGCAACAAGUUGUGCAACUAUAAUCCAGCCCGAAAGAGGCAAGUUGUUGAUUUUUAAGCAAAUUGGUUCAGAUUUUCCUGGACUAGUGUCGCCCAUCUGUGUUUUAGUUGUGCUUUAAGAUGUGGGUCUCCUUACUGCUAUACUAACCCAGUUGAGCUUUGGGGAAUUAAAGGUUACAUGAAUCAAGGGCCCUAACCUCUCUGUGUUAUUGUGUACCUGUAUUGCAGAUGGGAUGAGCUUAAUGGUGGCCAUGCAGCCUGUAAGUGCUGCAGGGGAAAAUGCAGAGAUGCAGUUCUGAGAUCCUUGCCAAAAGACACCAGAUCCACAGUCAGUACUGGGCCUCUAGUGAUUGUAGGCCACCCUGCCACUUCCACAAAGGCCAAAUGGGAUACCAAGCCUUCAUGGCAUCGGAGAGAUAGUGCAGGCAUCUAUACCCCUGCAGAGGCAUGGUCCCUGGGGCAGAAGGAGAGGGGCAAUGGGGCAAGGUUGCACCAAGACUUUGAAGAGGCUGGUUGGAGCCCACUGACUUGGGGAGAGAAGCUUUCUGUGCCCGACAAUGAGCUUCCUUUUGAGGAUGGUGGAAACCUGUACAAUAAAAUCCUUUUUAUGGGAGAACUGAAUGACCCUUUUGAAAACCUGGGUAAAGUCCAAGUGCAGGGGACUGAGAGCAUGGAGGGGUUUCAGCAGGAUUGGAGCCUGUUUUCCCCAGAAGGCAAACUGGACGAGAGAGACCUCCUGCAGCAAGAGUGGAACCUGCCUUUGGAAAUGGAAAAGGAGCUUGAGGAUGUGACCUCGCUCGUGGUGGAUCGUGAACGUGACUGGAAUUCUGUCGGAGAUACUCCUGGCCAUUUGGAGUGGCUUCCAGGGGAUGAGCCGAAGUGGGAAGAGCAUCCCGAUUUGGAGCUGGACUUCGUGUUGUCUUUGCCGGUACAGAGUGAUGCUCCAGAGAGCUUUGGGACUCUGUUUCCACAUUCAAGCCCAGAAGGGUUUUUUAAAGCCUGGGCUCAGGUGCCAAGUGACUACGAGAGGCAUGACCGCAAAAGGGUUGGGGACUCGAAAUGGGGUUUGGAUGUGUUUGAGAAACCAAGUAAUCCUCCAGUCGUUGAUGUGGCAUUCCUGUUUCCCAGUAGAAAGGAAAUCCAAUCUGCAAAUGGAGUUAACCUUGAUUCCACUUUCAAAGGAAGAAGGCAGGGUGUGAAGCCAAGGAUGCCCAAACUAGAAACUCCAAAGAUGAACAAGUACUUGGCUCUUAAGGAUGGACCUGCACAACCUCUGCCUUCAAAGCAGAAUGAUAAGCUAGGAUAUGAGUCAUUGGUGAUGUGGAGCACUGAAUGGCUGGGAAUAGAAUCUCAGGAACUUAAGAGCCCUUCUCCACAACGGAAGGCCAUCUCUUGCAAGAACCAGAACAUCAAUUCUAAUGUGCCAGGAGUUUUCCUCUCUCGCUAUGUGCGGACUCUGACUCCAGGAAGGGCCAGAAGCCUUCAGUAUGAAGUGGUGUUCGAGGAGGACAAUGGUGUACCUCCCAAGUGGAGAAGAGUGCACAGGCAGAGUGGGAAGAGCAGGGCACCAAAUCUGAUGGAUCUGCUGGGGUUAUCCAAGGCAGAGUAGCCAGCUGUUUCCCCUCACUGGUCUGUCUUCUAAAGGGCUCAAUGCCUACAUUGUACUGUGAAGUAACUUAAUAAAAGGAAAACUGUUGAAAGA
Lepisosteus oculatus (spotted gar) is the source of this 1998-nucleotide long non-coding RNA. NCBI's taxonomy places the organism in Eukaryota, Metazoa, Chordata, Actinopteri, Semionotiformes, Lepisosteidae. The record is from Ensembl.